Molecule: ribosomal RNA, 254 nt
Filed under: uncultured bacterium
Lineage: Bacteria
Description: partial 16S ribosomal RNA
Rfam family: Bacterial small subunit ribosomal RNA
Source: RNAcentral
UACGGAGGGAGCUAGCGUUGUUCGGAAUUACUGGGCGUAAAGCGCACGUAGGCGGCUUGUUAAGUCAGGGGUGAAAUCCUGGAGCUCAACUCCAGAACUGCCUUUGAUACUGGCGAGCUUGAGUUCGGGAGAGGUGAGUGGAACUGCGAGUGUAGAGGUGAAAUUCGUAGAUAUUCGCAAGAACACCAGUGGCGAAGGCGGCUCACUGGCCCGAUACUGACGCUGAGGUGCGAAAGCGUGGGGAGCAAACAGGG